This 253-nucleotide ribosomal RNA is filed under the name uncultured bacterium. Its description in RNAcentral is "partial 16S ribosomal RNA". It matches the Rfam family "Bacterial small subunit ribosomal RNA", at positions 524 to 776 of the family's 1533-position model. The record is from RNAcentral.
UACGAAGGGGGCUAGCGUUGCUCGGAAUCACUGGGCGUAAAGGGCGCGCAGGCGGCCGAUCAAGUCAGAUGUGAAAGCCCCGGGCUCAACCUGGGAAUAGCAUUUGGGACUGGUCGGCUAGAGUUCGGGAGAGGAGAGUGGAAUUCCCAGUGUAGAGGUGAAAUUCGUAGAUAUUGGGAAGAACACCGGCGGCGAAGGCGGCUCACUGGCCAUAUACUGACGCUGAAACACGAAAGCGUGGGUAGCAAACAGG